Molecule: ribosomal RNA, 449 nt
Filed under: uncultured bacterium
Lineage: Bacteria
Description: bacterial SSU rRNA
Rfam family: Bacterial small subunit ribosomal RNA
Source: RNAcentral
GUGGGGAAUAUUGGACAAUGGGCGAAAGCCUGAUCCAGCAAUGCCGCGUGUGUGAAGAAGGCCUGAGGGUUGUAAAGCACUUUCAAUGGGAAGGAAAAAAGUCGGGUUAAUACCCCGAUUCUUGACAUUACCUAUAGAAGAAGCACCGGCUAACUCCGUGCCAGCAGCCGCGGUAAUACGGAGGGUGCAAGCGUUAAUCGGAAUUACUGGGCGUAAAGCGUGCGUAGGCGGUUAUUUAAGUCAGAUGUGAAAGCCCCGGGCUCAACCUGGGAACUGCAUUUGAUACUGGGUAACUAGAGUUUAGUAGAGGAGAGCGGAAUUUCCGGUGUAGCGGUGAAAUGCGUAGAUAUCGGAAGGAACACCAGUGGCGAAGGCGGCUCUCUGGACUAAAACUGACGCUGAGGUACGAAAGCGUGGGUAGCAAACAGGAUUAGAAACCCUUGUAGUCC